AUGCAAACAGCAGGAAGGAAGAAGGAAGCGGGUGAGGAGGAGGAGAUGGGAGGUCGGCUCGGCUGGCACAGCAUUCGCGCAUUCAUGUGGUUCCAGGACGACAUCCCAAGAGAUUUCAGCCGGAAAACUGGCUACCUUCUCUGUUCAGGUCGCAACAUUGACAUCGAGGACAUUUCUCGUAGAAUAUGCGGGAGAUGGAAGAAAAGACGUUGCAAUAAUGGAGACAGAGGCGCGAGAGACGGAGAGAAAGCCAGGUCCUGGUGUGCCCGCUGGGUGCACAUACACGAUCCUCACAGCGACCCCCGACAAGGUCCCGGCCAGCACCUUGCCCCCUGCUUCUCGGCCCUGGCCUGAAGGGUUCCCUCCAACCCCAUCAGGACCUCCGGGGCUUGGGCCCGGGCAGGGUGAUUUUAAAAUGUCCCCACGUGAUGCUGAUAUGCGGUCAAAGCCUCAGCCCCCGGGGCAGCGGAAAGACGCCUGGCCCCGCCCCCAUCCCCAAGGACCCCGUCCCCAGCCGACCUCAGGCUCUCAGGCUCCAGCUGCUCCUUUCUUCUUCGGGGGCGUUGCACUCACCUGACCCGUGGUCACCCUUCUUCUCUGUGACCUCUGACUCCUGUCACUGAAGAAGAACCUGCACGCUCCUUGUCCACAUGCACCUGCUGUUCAGUGUCCCUAGAUGCCCCCCCCGGGCCGGGGCCCGUGGGGGGACUCACACCUCCUUCCACGGCCCUGGCCCAGAGCGUCCCCCGCUCAGAGACUCACUACCCACCCCCCUCCAUGUUGCCAUGAAGCAAAUCUCAAACUCCUGACCCCGGCAUCCUGACAUGUUUGGGUAGAUCAUUGAUAUUUAACCAGACAAAUACAAAAUGUAACUAAAAUGAGA
Herpailurus yagouaroundi (jaguarundi) is the source of this 883-nucleotide long non-coding RNA. RefSeq lists it as uncharacterized. Lineage: Eukaryota; Metazoa; Chordata; Mammalia; Carnivora; Felidae. The transcript has 2 exons. The record is from RefSeq and is a predicted model, not a curated record.